CAGAAUAAACUGCUGUAAUAACUGAUUAAUGAUCAGCACCUGUGACAGGUGUGGAAUAGGACUGGAAACUCGCUGCGAUUAACAGGCGCUGGACGGAUAAAUACAGCAACAGGAGAAGGCAGCGAAAAAACAAACUUUACUGCCAUCACUUACUACAGACAACAGAAAUAUAGGCUGAUCAACCGAAGAAAUAUUGUACCUCGAGACAAUACAUUACAAGUCAGGUGCUGAAAGAGGGCUUGGCUGUUUGUCUAUUGUGUGUGAAUCCAGGCCCCUGAUGAUGUUACCGACACACAAGUGCAUGCAUUAGUCUGUGCUGCACUUGCUGCUGUCACCUCCCACCUUGAAACCAGGAACCUGGGGAUUGUAUUCUGAGGGAGGGCACAGAAGCCAGAUGUAGGCAGUUCCCAAAAGCAAGCCAGCAGUGUGAUAGAGGACACAGGACAUGGCCAAUUGCCACCAAUACAAGCACAGAUCCUUGGGUUUGUUGAUCCUGAGAAGCAGCCCGUAACAAAGCUUUUAAUCUGGAUAACCUCUGACGGAAUUUUUUUUUUUAAAUCAUAAGCUUUCUGAAGGAAGAUGUCAUUCCUAUUAUUUAUUCGCCUGAGCUGGAGAAAUUGUCCAUAAGGGAUAGCAGUUUCUUAUAUUUGCUGGCUGAGCGAUAGCACCAAUGCAGAUAUAUAUUUCAAGCAGUAGACCUAAGAUACCUAGAAAUGACCAAAGUACCUUUGACCUGUACUAAAGAUUCCAAAAAAUUUAACUUCGAACUUAUUUUAGAGUAAAUUUCAUA
Long non-coding RNA from Hyla sarda, 790 nucleotides. RefSeq lists it as uncharacterized. The record is from RefSeq and is a predicted model, not a curated record. The transcript is spliced from 3 exons. Lineage: Eukaryota; Metazoa; Chordata; Amphibia; Anura; Hylidae.